This 333-nucleotide ribosomal RNA is filed under the name Staphylococcus saprophyticus. RNAcentral describes it as "bacterial SSU rRNA". It matches the Rfam family "Bacterial small subunit ribosomal RNA", at positions 81 to 407 of the family's 1533-position model. Lineage: Bacteria; Bacillati; Bacillota; Bacilli; Caryophanales; Staphylococcaceae. The record is from RNAcentral.
CUCCUUUGANGUUAGCGGCGGACGGGUGANUAACACGUGGGUAACCUACCUAUAAGACUGGGAUAACUUCGGGAAACCGGAGCUAAUACCGGAUAACAUUUGNAACCGCAUGGUUCUAAAGUGAAAGAUGGUUUUGCUAUCACUUAUAGAUGGACCCGCGCCGUAUUAGCUAGUUGGUAAGGUAACGGCUUACCAAGGCGACGAUACGUAGCCGACCUGAGAGGGUGAUCGGCCACACUGGAACUGAGACACGGUCCAGACUCCUACGGGAGGCAGCAGUAGGGAAUCUUCCGCNANUGGGCGAAAGCCUGACGGANCAACGCCGCGUGAGUG